AACGAACGCUGGCGGCAUGCCUAACACAUGCAAGUCGAACGAGACCUUCGGGUCUAGUGGCGCACGGGUGCGUAACGCGUGGGAACCUGCCCUCAGGUUCGGAAUAACUCCCCGAAAGGGGUGCUAAUACCGGAUAAUGUCUUCGGACCAAAGAUUUAUCGCCUUUGGAUGGGCCCGCGUUGGAUUAGCUAGUUGGUAGGGUAAAAGCCUACCAAGGCGACGAUCCAUAGCUGGUCUGAGAGGAUGAUCAGCCACACUGGGACUGAGACACGGCCCAGACUCCUACGGGAGGCAGCAGUGGGGAAUAUUGGACAAUGGGCGAAAGCCUGAUCCAGCAAUGCCGCGUGAGUGAUGAAGGCCUUAGGGUUGUAAAGCUCUUUUACCCGGGAUGAUAAUGACAGUACCGGGAGAAUAAGCUCCGGCUAACUCCGU
Molecule: ribosomal RNA, 432 nt
Filed under: uncultured bacterium
Lineage: Bacteria
Description: partial 16S ribosomal RNA
Rfam family: Bacterial small subunit ribosomal RNA
Source: RNAcentral